Molecule: non-coding RNA, 21 nt
Filed under: Caenorhabditis elegans
Lineage: Eukaryota; Metazoa; Nematoda; Chromadorea; Rhabditida; Rhabditidae
Source: RNAcentral
UUUGAUAAAAAGAAAAAAAUU